GAUGAACGCUGACAGAAUGCUUAACACAUGCAAGUCUACUUGAACUUCGGUUUGGGUGGCGGACGGGUGAGUCACGCGUAAAGAACUUGCCUCACAGUUAGGGACAACAUUUGGAAACGAAUGCUAAUACCUGAUAUUAUGAUUUUAGGGCAUCCUAGGAUUAUGAAAGCUAUAUGUGCUGUGAGAGAGCUUUGCGUCCCAUUAGCUAGUUGGAGAGGUAACGGCUCACCAAGGCGAUGAUGGGUAGCCGGCCUGAGAGGGUGAACGGCCACAAGGGGACUGAGACACGGCCCUUACUCCUACGGGAGGCAGCAGUGGGGAGUAUUGGACAAUGGACCAAAAGUCUGAUCCAGCAAUUCUGUGUGCACGAUGACGUUUUUCGGAAUGUAAAGUGCUUUCAGUUGGGAAGAAAAAAAUGACGGUACCAACAGAAGAAGUGACGGCUAAAUACGUG
This 454-nucleotide ribosomal RNA is filed under the name uncultured bacterium. RNAcentral describes it as "partial 16S ribosomal RNA". It matches the Rfam family "Bacterial small subunit ribosomal RNA", at positions 28 to 507 of the family's 1533-position model. The record is from RNAcentral.